Molecule: ribosomal RNA, 454 nt
Filed under: uncultured Porphyromonas sp.
Lineage: Bacteria; Pseudomonadati; Bacteroidota; Bacteroidia; Bacteroidales; Porphyromonadaceae
Description: partial 16S ribosomal RNA
Rfam family: Bacterial small subunit ribosomal RNA
Source: RNAcentral
ACGGAAGGCAGCAGUGAGGAGUAUUGGUCAAUGGAGGCAACUCUGAACCAGCCAUCUCGCGUGAAGGAAUACGGCCCUACGGGUCUUAAACUUCUUUUAUAGGGGGAUAAAGUGAGAUACGUGUAUCUUUUUGUAGGUACCCUAUGAAUAAGCAUCAGCUAACUCCGUGCCAGCAGCCGCGGUAAUACGGAGGAUGCGAGCGUUAUCCGGAUUUAUUGGGUUUAAAGGGUGCGCAGGCGGCACGUUAAGUCAGCGGUGAAAUGUCGGGGCUCAACCCGGGCACUGCCGUCGAAACUGGCGAGCUUGAGUACGGAUGAAGUUGGCGGAAUGUGAUGUGUAGCGGUGAAAUGCUUAGAUAUGUCACAGAACACCGAUUGCGAAGGCAGCUGACUAAUCCGCAACUGACGCUCAGGCACGAAAGCGUGGGGAUCGACCAGGAUUAGAUCCCCUGGUA